This 372-nucleotide ribosomal RNA is filed under the name Burkholderia sp. 91R. RNAcentral's name for it is "bacterial SSU rRNA". It matches the Rfam family "Bacterial small subunit ribosomal RNA", at positions 968 to 1344 of the family's 1533-position model. The record is from RNAcentral. Lineage: Bacteria; Pseudomonadati; Pseudomonadota; Betaproteobacteria; Burkholderiales; Burkholderiaceae.
CCCUUACCUACCCUUGACAUGUACGGAAGCCUGCUGAGAGGUGGAGGUGCCCGAAAGGGAGCCGUAACACAGGUGCUGCAUGGCUGUCGUCAGCUCGUGUCGUGAGAUGUUGGGUUAAGUCCCGCAACGAGCGCAACCCUUGUCCCUAGUUGCUACGCAAGAGCACUCCAGGGAGACUGCCGGUGACAAACCGGAGGAAGGUGGGGAUGACGUCAAGUCCUCAUGGCCCUUAUGGGUAGGGCUUCACACGUCAUACAAUGGUCGGAACAGAGGGUUGCCAAGCCGCGAGGUGGAGCCAAUCCCAGAAAACCGAUCGUAGUCCGGAUCGCAGUCUGCAACUCGACUGCGUGAAGCUGGAAUCGCUAGUAAUCG